CCGGCCCCGGCCUUGCUGUGUGAAGUUUAUAUGUUCUCGUGGGUUUCCUCGGGUGGUCCGGUUUCCUCCCACAUUC
Molecule: long non-coding RNA, 76 nt
Organism: Hippocampus comes (tiger tail seahorse)
Lineage: Eukaryota; Metazoa; Chordata; Actinopteri; Syngnathiformes; Syngnathidae
Exons: 3
Source: RefSeq, a predicted model, not a curated record